UAUUGGGCGUAAGAGCUCGUAGGCGGCGUGUCGCGUCUGCUGUGAAAGACCGGGGCUUAACCCCGGUUCUGCAGUGGAUACGGGCAUGCUAGAGGUAGGUAGGGGAGACUGGAAUUCCUGGUGUAGCGGUGAAAUGCGCAGAUAUCAGGAGGAACACCGGUGGCGAAGGCGGGUCUCUGGGCCUUACCUGACGCUGAGGAGCGAAAGCAUGGGGAGCGAACAGGAUUAGAUACCCUGGUAGUCCAUGCCGUAAACGUUGGGCGCUAGGUGUGGGGACUUUCCACGGUUUCCGCGCCGUAGCUAACGCAUUAAGCGCCCCGCCUGGGGAGUACGGCCGCAAGGCUAAAACUCAAAGGAAUUGACGGGGGCCCGCACAAGCGGCGGAGCAUGUUGCUUAAUUCGACGCAACGCGAAGAACCUUACCAAGGUUUGACAUCACCCGUGGACCUGUAGAGAUACAGGGUCAUUUGGUUGGCGGGUGACAGGUGGUGCAUGGCUGUCGUCAGCUCGUGUCGUGAGAUGUUGGGUUAAGUCCCGCAACGAGCGCAACCCUUGUUCCAUGUUGCCAGCACGUAAUGGUGGGGACUCAUGGGAGACUGCCGGGGUCAACUCGGAGGAAGGUGGGGACGACGUCAAGUCAUCAUGCCCCUUAUGUCUUGGGCUGCAAACAUGCUACAAUGGCCGGUACAAUGGGCGUGCGAUACCGUGAGGUGGAGCGAAUCCCUAAAAGCCGGUCUCAGUUCGGAUUGGGGUCUGCAACUCGACCCCAUGAAGGUGGAAUCGCUAGUAAUCGCGGAUCAGCAACGCCUCGGUGAAUACGUUCCCGGGGCCUUGUACACACCGACCCGUCACGUCAUGAAAGUCGGCGACACCCAAAAACUUGUGGCCCUACCCUUUCUGUGAAGGGAGUGAAUGGAGGGUGG
This 923-nucleotide ribosomal RNA is filed under the name Nocardiopsis alba. RNAcentral describes it as "bacterial SSU rRNA". It matches the Rfam family "Bacterial small subunit ribosomal RNA", at positions 552 to 1465 of the family's 1533-position model. The record is from RNAcentral. Lineage: Bacteria; Bacillati; Actinomycetota; Actinomycetes; Streptosporangiales; Nocardiopsidaceae.